Pelobates cultripes (western spadefoot toad) is the source of this 291-nucleotide non-coding RNA. The record is from the annotation of a GenBank genome assembly. Lineage: Eukaryota; Metazoa; Chordata; Amphibia; Anura; Pelobatidae.
GAAAGAGGGAAGUGCUCAUGCCAUUAUACAGAACACUGGUGAGACCUCACUUGGAGUAUUGUACACAGUACUGGACACCGUAUCUUCAGAAGGAUAUUGAUACUUUAGAGAGGGUUCAGAGAAGGGCUACUAAACUGGUUCAUGGAUUGCGGGAUAAAACUUACCAGGAAAGGUUAAAGGAACAUGUAUAGCUUGGAGGAAAGACGAGACAGGGGGGAUAUGAUAGAAACAUUUAAAUAUAUAAAGGGAAUCAACACAGUAAAGGAGGAGACUAUAUUUAAAAGAAGAAAA